Molecule: transfer RNA, 100 nt
Filed under: Thermochaetoides thermophila DSM 1495
Lineage: Eukaryota; Fungi; Ascomycota; Sordariomycetes; Sordariales; Chaetomiaceae
Description: Chaetomium thermophilum var. thermophilum DSM 1495 tRNA
Rfam family: tRNA
About the family: Transfer RNA (tRNA) molecules are approximately 80 nucleotides in length. Their secondary structure includes four short double-helical elements and three loops (D, anti-codon, and T loops).
Source: Rfam by way of RNAcentral
GGGUGACUCGUCUAGUGGUUAGGACACUUCGUUGUGGUUCUUGCGGCAACGCGGAAACAUGACGACCGAAGAAACCCUGGUUCGAUUCCAGGGUCACCCA